GCUCAUUUCUAGUAAUAAUAAGUGGUAUUUCAUAAACCAGGAUACAUGAUCAUUUACUUCCUGAUAGCUUGCUUCUCCCAGAUCUAAUUCUAUUCUUCCUUGAGGGCUGUUGGUGCCAGUGCCAGGGCUGCAAACAUCAGGGUUAGACUGGAGAGUGACCCGUGUGCUCCUUCACCCCUGGGUGGGGCCUCUGUGCUUAUCAGUAGGCUAGCACCAGGUGCAGGAGACAGAUGUGCCGCCCGCUCACUAUGAUUACAUGGGACAGACAUGCUGCCCAUGCCGGGGCUUACCUGGGACAGACGUGCCACCCACUCACUAUGAUUACCUGGGACAGACAUGCUGCCCACUCACUAUGAUUCCAUGGGGACAGACAUGCCGCCCACGCACGGGGCUUACCUGGGAUAGAUGUGCCACCCACUCACUAUGAUUACCUGGGGACAGAUGUGCUGUCUGCUCACAGGGCUUACCUGGGAAUGAAGUUCCACUCCUCCACUUGCUUAGUUCUUGUUUAUUUGUCUCUCCC
This 523-nucleotide long non-coding RNA is filed under the name Homo sapiens (human). RNAcentral describes it as "HSALNT0344251". The record is from RNAcentral. Lineage: Eukaryota; Metazoa; Chordata; Mammalia; Primates; Hominidae.